This 153-nucleotide ribosomal RNA is filed under the name Triticum aestivum (bread wheat). RNAcentral describes it as "partial small subunit ribosomal RNA". Lineage: Eukaryota; Viridiplantae; Streptophyta; Magnoliopsida; Poales; Poaceae. The record is from RNAcentral.
GGCUGGACCCUCUAGAAGCACAGGAACGCAUGCAUAUUCGACAAUGCUCGGCCCUCCACUGCCGAGACUACCCAAGCCGCCCUUGCCGAGGCUAGGUUUUGGUCUAUGGCAGGAGCCAAAGGGCUACGUGUACUCAUUUUCGAACCGCCUUGA